UCAGUUUGUCUCCCCUUUCCCUCCAAAACGUUAAUAACACUUAAAUAUCGGGGAACUGACAUCUUUCACUUAGGGACUAUUCUCGCUCACUUUUAUCUAUACGAGGAUUCUAACUUCUUUCGGAGAAUCUGGGGAAUACUAGCUCGCUCAUGUUCAGGUCUAUGUAAUACCUUCUGCUGGCGUGUCCCUCAUCUCGGACACUUUCUCCUUUCGAGGCCCGGCGCUGGUGAAUAAAAUACAAUGAUGUUUCAAUUAUUUAUUCCAAACAGCUAUCUACAUUUAAGUGUGAUAUGUGAUCUGUGAUCUAUUGAUUUAAACUUUGUUUUAACUUAUUUCUGAUAAUGAAAAUCUUUUAUAAAUUUAAUUUAAGUUUUAAAUAUCAAAGUUAUUAAAUCAAAAG
Molecule: long non-coding RNA, 400 nt
Filed under: Mytilus galloprovincialis (Mediterranean mussel)
Lineage: Eukaryota; Metazoa; Mollusca; Bivalvia; Mytilida; Mytilidae
Source: RNAcentral